Molecule: ribosomal RNA, 497 nt
Filed under: uncultured bacterium
Lineage: Bacteria
Description: partial 16S ribosomal RNA
Rfam family: Bacterial small subunit ribosomal RNA
Source: RNAcentral
GAUGAACGCUGGCGGCGUGCCUAAUACAUGCAAGUCGAGCGAACAGACGAGGAGCUUGCUCCUCUGACGUUAGCGGCGGACGGGUGAGUGACACGUGGAUAACCUACCUAUAAGACUGGGAUAACUUCGGGAAACCGGAGCUAAUACCGGAUAAUAUAUUGAACCGCAUGGUUCAAUAGUGAACGACGGUUUUGCUGUCACUUAUAGAUGGAUCCGCGCCGCAUUAGCUAGUUGGUAAGGUAACGGCUUACCAAGGCGACGAUGCGUAGCCGACCUGAGAGGGUGAUCGGCCACACUGGAACUGAGACACGGUCCAGACUCCUACGGGAGGCAGCAGUAGGGAAUCUUCCACAAUGGGCGAAAGCCUGACGGAGCAACGCCGCGUGAGUGAUGAAGGUCUUCGGAUCGUAAAACUCUGUUAUUAGGGAAGAACAAAUGUGUAAGUAACUAUGCACGUCUUGACGGUACCUAAUCAGAAAGCCACGGCUAACUACGUG